CCUACGGGUGGCAGCAGGGGGGAAUAUUGCACAAUGGGGGAAACCCUGAUGCAGCGACGCCGCGUGAGUGAUGAAGGAUUGCGGGAGGGAAAGCUCGAGCAGCAGGGAAGAAAAGGACGGUACCUGACUAAGAAGCCCCGGCUAACUACGUGCCAGCAGCCGCGGUAAGACGGCGGGGGCAAGCGUUAUCCGGAUUUACUGGGUGUAAAGGGAGCGUAGACGGCGGGGCAAGCCAGAUGUGAAAGCCUGGGGCUCCACCCCGGGACUGCCUUUUGAACGGUGCUGCGAGAGUGUCGGAGAGGCAGGCGGCAUUCCUCGUGUAGCGGUGCAAUGCGUAGAUAUUAGGCGGCACCCCCGUGGCGAAGGCGGCCUGCUGUACGAUGACUGACGUUGAGGCUCUACCGCGUGGGGAGCACACAGGAUUAGCUACCCCUGUAGUC
RNAcentral lists this ribosomal RNA (440 nucleotides) under uncultured bacterium. Its description in RNAcentral is "partial 16S ribosomal RNA". It matches the Rfam family "Bacterial small subunit ribosomal RNA", at positions 338 to 795 of the family's 1533-position model. The record is from RNAcentral.